UACCAGCACCCCGAGUGGUCGGGACGAUUAUUGGGCCUAAAGCAUCCGUAGCCGGUUCUACAAGUCUUCCGUUAAAUCCACCUGCUCAACAGUUGGGCUGCGGAGGAUACUAUAGAGCUAGGAGGCGGGAGAGGCAAGCGGUACUCAGUGGGUAGGGGUAAAAUCCGUUGAUCCAUUGAAGACCACCAGUGGCGAAGGCGGCUUGCCAGAACGCACUCGACGGUGAGGGAUGAAAGCUGGGGGAGCAAACCGG
Molecule: ribosomal RNA, 253 nt
Filed under: uncultured bacterium
Lineage: Bacteria
Also listed under: 2 other names
Description: partial 16S ribosomal RNA
Rfam family: Archaeal small subunit ribosomal RNA
Source: RNAcentral